UGCUGGUCGUUCUUCGUGUCCCAUGCUUGUUUCAUUUCUGCAGGCGUCUCUGGCACACUCCACGUUCGUCCCGCGGGCCAGGACAAGGAGGAAAAGCACAGAGUUGGUCCUAUCCACUGGCUUCUGUCGCACAGCACGGUAUCUAACAGAAUAGGAGAGUGAGAGACAGCAGGCAGCCUGUCUUCGGGUAGCCUGGGGCUGAGUCUCUGAGACACGACCCUAUUCGCCACACACAACAUGGGGGCGAUCUGGAGCCGCGCCCAACUUCCGUUUCCGGUGCUGAGGCUGCGUCAGUUCCCUUUCAGUCGCCCCGCAGCUUCCUGGAAGUGGGCAGCAGAAGCUCCCAGGUAGCUGAGAAGUUCAUGGAAUCUUCUUACUGGUACAACCUUCACUAUUGAUUGUGUUACAGUGCAAGGAGCUCAUCAGCUGGCCCAGGAGGGCUGCUUGCCCACUCAUGGUUGCCAGGAUGUUUGGCCAUCCCCAGUCCAGAGUGACCAUCUGGUGUUGUCAUCAUCAUUGAGCCCUUUGCAGCCUGACCACACUGGGGCCAGUGUUCCAGGUUUGGGAACAUUUGCUGGCAGAGCCUGUGUUUGGAAGUGAGAGCAGUGUUUAGGUAGAAACAGACACUGAAAACAGCUGCUGGCUUCUCUGCCUUGGUAAGAAGGAGCCAUGGAGGGCAUGAAGGAAAGCUGCCAAGGAUGCUGUCUUGAUCUGCUCUGAGCCAUGAUUCCUGCAUCUGAAAGGAGGAUAGAGUGAGAGCUUCAUCAACGGAGAUCCGCUCUGCUCCAUGAAUCCUGUCAUGUGCAGGUCACCACUUUUUUCGGGAGGAGAGGCCUCCAUUAUAGGCCUGAGGUCUCAGGAGCUAGCACCAGGCCUGUCUGAGGUGGAGCUGGCUCCUAGCACAGGUACCAGGGUGUAAGGGGACACUCCAACUUGGAGUUGACCCCAUCCUUGCCUCUUACCAGCUGUAUGGCCUGAGCUGGGAAUGACUGUCUCUAAGCCUGUUUCUUUAUCCGAGAACCAAGGAGAAUAAAAGUCUGUAUCUCAGAGGCUAUUGUGAAGGUUAAAUAAAUAAAAUAGUAAUA
Molecule: long non-coding RNA, 1085 nt
Organism: Manis javanica (Malayan pangolin)
Lineage: Eukaryota; Metazoa; Chordata; Mammalia; Pholidota; Manidae
Source: RefSeq, a predicted model, not a curated record